RNAcentral lists this long non-coding RNA (374 nucleotides) under Homo sapiens (human). Its description in RNAcentral is "non-protein coding lnc-RNF26-1:12". Lineage: Eukaryota; Metazoa; Chordata; Mammalia; Primates; Hominidae. The record is from RNAcentral.
CACAGACGAGGAAACAAAGGCCCAAAGAAGAGUUCCGCCCGGGACGGAACGUGGCAUAGCUCGCAACAGAACCCAGUCUCCGGAGAUCCCUCUCCUCUGCACCACUUGGACGUUCCACGGAGAGGCAGCGGUGCGCGGGGCGACGGGGAGCUGCCAGAGAAGUCAGUGGUGGGCAUGAGUGGGUGAGACGGGCCCACUGAGGUUUCUGGCAGUGGGGAGCCAUGGAAAGUUUCUGAACAGAGAAGCACUUAUUGGGAACUGUCAGAGCUAUGCUUCAGGAGAUGAAUCUGGCAACAACGUUAAUAUUAAUGCCCUGUACAUCCUGAGUACAUGUUUCCAGAAAGAGGUGAUCCAGGAGGCUGCCAAGUGGCCUG